Molecule: ribosomal RNA, 796 nt
Filed under: uncultured bacterium
Lineage: Bacteria
Description: bacterial SSU rRNA
Rfam family: Bacterial small subunit ribosomal RNA
Source: RNAcentral
AGAGUUUGAUCAUGGCUCAGAUUGAACGCUGGCGGCAUGCUUUACACAUGCAAGUCGAGCGGCAGCGCGGGGGCAACCCUGGCGGCGAGCGGCGAACGGGUGAGGAAUACAUCGGAACGUGCCCGAGAGUGGGGGGAUAACGCCGCGAAAGCGGCGCUAAUACCGCAUAUUCUCCGAGGAGGAAAGUGGGGGACCUGCAAGGGCCUCACGCUCACGGAGCGGCCGAUGUCGGAUUAGCUAGUUGGUGGGGUAAAGGCUUACCAAGGCGACGAUCCGUAGCUGGUCUGAGAGGAUGAUCAGCCACACUGGGACUGAGACACGGCCCAGACUCCUACGGGAGGCAGCAGUGGGGAAUUUUGGACAAUGGGGGCAACCCUGAUCCAGCCAUGCCGCGUGCGGGAAGAAGGCCUUCGGGUUGUAAACCGCUUUUAGUCGGGAAGAAAAGGCGCCAGCUAAUACUUGGCGUUCUUGACGGUACCGGCGGAAUAAGCACCGGCUAACUACGUGCCAGCAGCCGCGGUAAUACGUAGGGUGCGAGCGUUAAUCGGAAUUACUGGGCGUAAAGCGUGCGCAGGCGGUUCGUUAAGUCAGAUGUGAAAGCCCCGGGCUCAACCUGGGAACUGCAUUUGAAACUGGCGGGCUUGAGUGCGGCAGAGGGGGGUGGAAUUCCGCGUGUAGCAGUGAAAUGCGUAGAGAUGCGGAGGAACACCGAUGGCGAAGGCAGCCCCCUGGGCCGACACUGACGCUCAGGCACGAAAGCGUGGGGAGCAAACAGGAUUAGAUACCCCAGUAGUCC